This 495-nucleotide ribosomal RNA is filed under the name uncultured bacterium. Its description in RNAcentral is "partial 16S ribosomal RNA". It matches the Rfam family "Bacterial small subunit ribosomal RNA", at positions 28 to 507 of the family's 1533-position model. The record is from RNAcentral.
GAUGAACGCUGGCGGCGUGCCUAAUACAUGCAAGUAGAACGCUGAAGGAGGAGCUUGCUCUUCUGGAUGAGUUGCGAACGGGUGAGUAACGCGUAGGUAACCUGCCUGGUAGCGGGGGAUAACUAUUGGAAACGAUAGCUAAUACCGCAUGACAACAGUUAUUGCAUGAUAACUGUUUAAAAGGGGCAACUGCUCCACUACCAGAUGGACCUGCGUUGUAUUAGCUAGUUGGUGAGGUAACGGCUCACCAAGGCGACGAUACAUAGCCGACCUGAGAGGGUGAUCGGCCACACUGGGACUGAGACACGGCCCAGACUCCUACGGGAGGCAGCAGUAGGGAAUCUUCGGCAAUAGACGGAAGUCUGACCGAGCAACGCCGCGUGAGUGAAGAAGGUUUUCGGAUCGUAAAGCUCUGUUGUAAGAGAAGAACGAGUGUGAGAGUGGAAAGUUCACACUGUGACGGUAUCUUACCAGAAAGGGACGGCUGACUACGUG